Non-coding RNA from Pangasianodon gigas (Mekong giant catfish), 73 nucleotides. The record is from the annotation of a GenBank genome assembly. NCBI's taxonomy places the organism in Eukaryota, Metazoa, Chordata, Actinopteri, Siluriformes, Pangasiidae.
GGGGGGCUGGCUUAGGGGUUAGCACGUUUCCCUUGCACCUCAAGGGUUGGGGGUUCAAUUCCCACCUCCACCC